This 248-nucleotide ribosomal RNA is filed under the name uncultured bacterium. RNAcentral's name for it is "partial 16S ribosomal RNA". It matches the Rfam family "Bacterial small subunit ribosomal RNA", at positions 523 to 769 of the family's 1533-position model. The record is from RNAcentral.
AUACGUAGGUGGCAAGCGUUGUCCGGAAGUUAUUGGGCGUAAAGCGCGCGCAGGCGGUCCUUUAAGUCUGAUGUGAAAGCCCACGGCUCAACCGUGGAGGGUCAUUGGAAACUGGGGGACUUGAGUGCAGAAGAGGAGAGUGGAAUUCCACGUGUAGCGGUGAAAUGCGUAGAGAUGUGGAGGAACACCAGUGGCGAAGGCGACUCUCUGGUCUGUAACUGACGCUGAGGCGCGAAAGCGUGGGGAGC